CCUACGGGCGGCAGCAGUGGGGAAUAUUGCACAAUGGGCGCAAGCCUGAUGCAGCCAUGCCGCGUGUGUGAAGAAGGCCUUCGGGUUGUAAAGCACUUUCAGCGGGGAGGAAGGCGGUGAGGUUAAUAACCUCAUCGAUUGACGUUACCCGCAGAAGAAGCACCGGCUAACUCCGUGCCAGCAGCCGCGGUAAUACGGAGGGUGCAAGCGUUAAUCGGAAUUACUGGGCGUAAAGCGCACGCAGGCGGUCUGUCAAGUCGGAUGUGAAAUCCCCGGGCUCAACCUGGGAACUGCAUUCGAAACUGGCAGGCUAGAGUCUGGUAGAGGGGGGUAGAAUUCCAGGUGUAGCGGUGAAAUGCGUAGAGAUCUGGAGGAAUACCGGUGGCGAAGGCGGCCCCCUGGACAAAGACUGACGCUCAGGUGCGAAAGCGUGGGGAGCAAACAGGAUUAGAUACCCGAGUAGUC
RNAcentral lists this ribosomal RNA (465 nucleotides) under uncultured Klebsiella sp. RNAcentral's name for it is "bacterial SSU rRNA". It matches the Rfam family "Bacterial small subunit ribosomal RNA", at positions 338 to 795 of the family's 1533-position model. Lineage: Bacteria; Pseudomonadati; Pseudomonadota; Gammaproteobacteria; Enterobacterales; Enterobacteriaceae. The record is from RNAcentral.